Molecule: ribosomal RNA, 417 nt
Filed under: uncultured bacterium
Lineage: Bacteria
Description: bacterial SSU rRNA
Rfam family: Bacterial small subunit ribosomal RNA
Source: RNAcentral
UAAGGAAUAUUGCUCAAUGGGAGAAAUCCUGAAGCAGCAACGCCGCGUGGAGGAUGAAGGGUCUAUGACUUGUAAACUCCUGUAAAGAAGGAAAAAAUUCCCAUUUGAUGGGAGAUGAUGGUACUUCUGGAGUAAGCCCCGGCUAACUACGUGCCAGCAGCCGCGGUAAUACGUAGGGGGCAAGCGUUGUCCGGAUUUACUGGGCGUAAAGGGUGCUCAGGCGGAUUUGUAAGUCAGAGGUGAAAUCUUACAGCUUAACUGUGAAACUGCCUUUGAGACUGCAAGCCUAGAGUAUGGAAGAGAGUGAUGGAAUAUCUGGUGUAGCAGUGAAAUGCGUAGAUAUCAGAUAGAACACCAAUGGCGAAGGCAGUCACUUGGUCCAUUACUGACGCUAAAGCACGAAAGCGUGGGUAGCAA